UACGAAGGGUGCUAGCGUUGUUCGGAAUUACUGGGCGUAAAGCGCGCGUAGGCGGCUUAACAAGCCAGAGGUGAAAUCCCCAGGCUCAACCUGGGAAUUGCCUUUGAAACUGUUAAGCUUGAGUGUCGGAGGGGAUAGCGGAAUUCCUAAUGUAGAGGUGAAAUUCGUAGAUAUUAGGAGGAACACCGGUGGCGAAGGCGGCUAUCUGGACGACAACUGACGCUGAGGCGCGAAAGCGUGGGGAUCGAACAGG
RNAcentral lists this ribosomal RNA (253 nucleotides) under uncultured bacterium. RNAcentral describes it as "partial 16S ribosomal RNA". It matches the Rfam family "Bacterial small subunit ribosomal RNA", at positions 524 to 776 of the family's 1533-position model. The record is from RNAcentral.